CGUUUUAAGAGAGACGGGAGAAGG
This 24-nucleotide transfer RNA is filed under the name Cyrtodactylus intermedius. RNAcentral describes it as "tRNA-Cys". The record is from RNAcentral. Lineage: Eukaryota; Metazoa; Chordata; Lepidosauria; Squamata; Gekkonidae.